Pimephales promelas (fathead minnow) is the source of this 1342-nucleotide non-coding RNA. The record is from RefSeq and is a predicted model, not a curated record. Lineage: Eukaryota; Metazoa; Chordata; Actinopteri; Cypriniformes; Leuciscidae.
CCACAAAUAAUGAAAGAUUAAUUUACAUUUAGCAUGACUGCUAUUAUCUAAACUUCUGCCUGUAAUGUUAGUCAUUCUUUCCCUUCUCAUUUGUUCAUUUCAUAAUGUUUCUGUUGUUUUCUUAUCUAUUAACAGGACUUUUCUGCUGUAGUUUACAUCCCAAGCACCACCUGCAUGCUUCUUAUGGGUGGUGGACAUUCAGGGUUGCUGUCAUUCAAGAAGUUAUUGACCACAUCUCCUACCCUAUUGAGGCAGUAAGAUGCAAAAUACCUGAAGAAUAUGGCACUUAUCCUGGAGUUCAUAUAAAGAAAUCCUGAACGAAGGUUGAAAAGGCUGAGAUGAAGGAAACGUCCCCAUUCCUCCAAAACUGCUGAAGUUCCUGUAUGAACAACUUCGAAAAACCAGCUGGCAUCUUGAGGAGGACGACCUCGCAUCCAGUAUGCUGCUGUGGGUGCCGCAGGAUUUCGAACUCAUUCGAUCACUUGUCUCUAUGCUUUUCGAACUGUGGCGACUAAUCGUGCCUUGCUGUGGGUCAAGCCGCUGGAUCUUCAGAUCUUCUUCGAUUUGCUUAAUCCAUCCUUUUUUUGGGUGCAGUGCGCUGGAUUCUACACUGGGUUGGACGUUUCCUCCAGAGGACUUGUGUGGUAUUCAAUUUGCAUCCAUUCUGCACGUGUCCAAACAUUUCACUCUAUUGACUAGAAGUCUAAAGCAAUUUUUAAAAGCAGAAGCCUUAUCUUCAUUGCAUUUUGUUUGUUUCUGUAUUGUAUCGUAUUCUAUUAGUAUUGCAUUUGAAAAUGUUUUGAAUCUUGACUUUCACAGUUUAUGAAGUUUUUUUUUUUUUUCCAUUUUUUAAAAAUAAUUUUGUGAGCUAUUUGGUACAACACCAAUAUUGUGCAAGUACCUGCUCGUUUUCUUUUUUUUUUUUCAUUUCUCCCAUGUUUGUUUAAUGUCUUAACUUUUUCCACAAUACAAGCACUUUUUUAUGGUGCUUUAUGGUGCUUUGCACAUUGUUAAAUUGUGUGUGCCUGUCUGUGUAUAUCAAUUUUUACCCAUUGAAUGCGUUUUAACAAAAAUAAAACAUGUUCAAUAUGUAUAUAUUGUUCUUGAAUUAUUUGCUACCAAAAUAUAUGCUAUAAAAAUAGAAAUUUCUGUAUAAGGAUUAUCCGUGAAUAGUACAGAAAAUACGGAAUUUUCCAUUUUAGGUUUGACGGAAAUGUCCGUCAAUGGUACAGAAAAACUCAUGUAAAUCUACGGAAAUAUCCGUUCUAAGGUUUACGGAAGUGCCCGUACAAAAACGGAAAAAGUGCUGGUAAUUAAUUACCAGCACUUUUUCCGUUUUUUA